GAUGAACGCUAGCUACAGGCUUAACACAUGCAAGUCGAGGGGCAGCAUGGUCUUAGCUUGCUAAGGCCGAUGGCGACCGGCGCACGGGUGAGUAACACGUAUCCAACCUGCCGUCUACUCUUGGACAGCCUUCUGAAAGGAAGAUUAAUACAAGAUGGCAUCAUGAGUCCGCAUGUUCACAUGAUUAAAGGUAUUCCGGUAGACGAUGGGGAUGCGUUCCAUUAGAUAGUAGGCGGGGUAACGGCCCACCUAGUCUUCGAUGGAUAGGGGUUCUGAGAGGAAGGUCCCCCACAUUGGAACUGAGACACGGUUCAAACUCCUACGGGAGGCAGCAGUGAGGAAUAUUGGUCAAUGGGCGAGAGCCUGAACCAGCCAAGUAGCGUGAAGGAUGACUGCCCUAUGGGUUGUAAACUUCUUUUAUAAAGGAAUAAAGUCGGGUAUGGAUACCCGUUUGCAUGUACUUUAUGAAUAAGGAUCGGCUAACUCCGUGCCAGCAGCCGCGGUAAUACGGAGGAUCCGAGCGUUAUCCGGAUUUAUUGGGUUUAAAGGGAGCGUAGAUGGAUGUUUAAGUCAGUUGUGAAAGUUUGCGGCUCAACCGUAAAAUUGCAGUUGAUACUGGAUAUCUUGAGUGCAGUUGAGGCAGGCGGAAUUCGUGGUGUAGCGGUGAAAUGCUUAGAUAUCACGAAGAACUCCGAUUGCGAAGGCAGCCUGCUA
This 714-nucleotide ribosomal RNA is filed under the name uncultured Bacteroidales bacterium. Its description in RNAcentral is "bacterial SSU rRNA". It matches the Rfam family "Bacterial small subunit ribosomal RNA", at positions 28 to 731 of the family's 1533-position model. Lineage: Bacteria; Pseudomonadati; Bacteroidota; Bacteroidia; Bacteroidales. The record is from RNAcentral.